Molecule: long non-coding RNA, 1055 nt
Filed under: Durio zibethinus
Lineage: Eukaryota; Viridiplantae; Streptophyta; Magnoliopsida; Malvales; Malvaceae
Description: long non-coding RNA (DZIB_LNC002118)
Source: RNAcentral
UCUCUCACUCCCAACUCCCCACCCCUAAGCGGCUCCUGCUUUUGCUAAUUUCCUCCAGUCGCAAAACCCCAUAAAUCCCAAUUCCCUAGCGUCUUAUUGCAGAUGUUUCUUUUUGAGCAUUAAAAUAAACAGCAACAACAAGGAAGCCAAGAUCAUUUUCAGCAACAAAAUAUUGGGUGCUGAAGCUAUCCCUUGAAAUCAGUUACUUUCUUCCUUAAUCUAAUUCUCAGCAAAAAAAAAAAAAAAUAUAUAUAUAUAUAUUUAUAUAUAUAUUUAAUUUUCUGGGAAGAGCAGGUUGUCAGAAAUUAGGGGUUUUAAUACCCUUCCACAAGACAACCCUUAAAUUGCCCUUUCAGAUAAGGUUCCAAGCAAUGGUAUGGAAGUUUCAUGUCAUUUGUUUUAUACCCUUUUAUUUAUUUAUUUAUUUAUUUUGUAAAAUUUACUUUCUGCAAUUUUAUAGAAAAUAAAGGAGGGAUUGAUUUUUCAGUAGAUUUAACUCUUUUUUCUUUUGGGGUAAUUGGAUUCUUGAGGUUGGUUCUUUUAAAAGUGCCAAGUUAAUUUUUUUUUUUUUUGCUUGGAGCUUUGAAUUAAUCUGUUGAUGUGUAUUUGUUAGAUUCUGAUUUAGAAUCAGGGACUGGAAAGUUAACUUUUUGUAAUUUCUUCUGGUUUUUGGUGAUAAAAUCUGGGGUCUGGCGUGUGGGUCAAUUUCCUUGAUGGGUUCUGUUGAAUUUUGUUCUAGAAAUAUGAGCUAGAAAAGAUCACUUUUUUCUUGCAAAAUGAGAUGAGUUUUUUUAUCUUAAUUGGUUUUUCUUAGGUUUGGGCAUCAGUAAUCAGUUGAAGUAUAAAGAGUAGCAGAGCUUGUUCCGAUUAUUUGGAGGAAUUGGUCUUGAAAAUGGAGGAUCAAGAAGUUUUGCCUGAUGAGUCCUCUGUAUCCUUAGUUAGGGAAGUUAGAGUAGAAGAAGAUGAGGAAGACUUCCGGAUUUAUGUGUCUUUUAGUCGUGUGUUGUAUUUGAAUUGAUAGAUUUUUAUUUGUUUGGAUUUAGUUAUUGUGUAAG